CAGGCCUAACACAUGCAAGUCGAACGGAUAACAAUGAUAGCUUGCUAUUAUUGUUGUUAGUGGCAAACGGGUGAGUAAUACAUAGGAACUUGCCUAUCAGUACGGGAAAACGGUUGGAAACUUCUGCUAAUUCCGUAUAUUCCCUCUGGGGGAAAGAUCUAUCGCUGAUAGAUAGGCCUAUGUCAGAUUAGCUUGUUGGUAGGGUAAAGGCCUACCAAGGCUACGAUCUGUAGCUGGUUUGAGAGAAUGAUCAGCCACACUGAAACUGAGACACGGUUCAGACUCCUACGGGGGGCAGCAGUGGGGAAUAUUUGACAACGAGCGAAAGCUUGAUCAAGCAAUACCACGUGAGUGAUGAAGGCCUUUGGGUUGUAAAGCUCUUCUAACAGUUAAGAUGAUGACGGUAACUGUAGAAAAAGCACCGGCUAACUUCGUGCCAGCAGCCGCGGUAAGACGAAGGGUGCAAGCGUUGCUCGGAAUUACUGGGCGUAAAGGGUAUGUAGGCUGUAUAGCAAGUUAGGAGUGAAAUCCUAGAGCUCAACUUUAGAACUGCUUCUAAAACUGCUAUACUCAGAGGUAUAUCGAGGACAGUGGAAUUCCUAGUGGAGAGGUGGAAUUCGUAGAUAUUAGGAGGAACAUCAGGUGCGAAGGCGACUGUCUAGGUAUUACCUGACGCUGAGGUACGAAAGUGUGGGGAGCAAACAGGAUUAGAUACCCUGGUAGUCCACACCGUAAACGGUGAGUGCUAGG
RNAcentral lists this ribosomal RNA (750 nucleotides) under uncultured bacterium. Its description in RNAcentral is "bacterial SSU rRNA". It matches the Rfam family "Bacterial small subunit ribosomal RNA", at positions 43 to 820 of the family's 1533-position model. The record is from RNAcentral.